GUCCCUACAAAUUGAGUCAGCAACAGAGAAGAGCCAACCAUUGAAGAUAAGCAAAGCCGCUAUGCGAAAACCAAAUCGGACACGUGUCAACCUGAUAUUUCAUUCUUGAUUUUCCUCCAAAAUAACAGUCUUUUGGUUCUUCUUGUCUUGGAAGUCUCAAAAGCUAAAGAGGGUAGUUGAAAUUUAAACUCCUGUGCUUUCAAAUUGACAAAGCACCAAACUUUCUCCUCCUCAAUUCCCAAAAUUUCAGUUUGCUGCAAGAGAAAAAAAGAAGGAAAUUUCAAUGGCAACAACUGCUUCUUGUGUGGGUUCAUCAACUCUGUUACAAUCCCAAAUUAAUGGAUUUGGCGGGAGUGUUAAGCUUCAGAAGCCCAAUUCACUCACUUUCACCAGGAGGAGAGUUCAAACAGUGGUGAAGGCUUCUUCUCGGGUGGAUAAGUUUUCGAAAAGCGAUAUUAUUGUUUCUCCAUCCAUCCUUUCUGCUAACUUUUCUAAAUUAGGAGAGCAGGUAAAAGCAGUUGAGCAGGCAGGCUGCGACUGGAUUCAUGUAGAUGUGAUGGAUGGUCGAUUUGUUCCAAAUAUAACUAUUGGACCCCUUGUAGUUGAUUCCUUGCGCCCUAUCACUGAUCUUCCAUUGGAUGUGCAUCUGAUGAUUGUCGAACCUGACCAGAGAGUACCUGAUUUCAUAAAAGCAGGUGCUGAUAUCAUCAGUGUUCACUGUGAGCAAUCUUCUACCAUCCACUUGCAUCGUACAAUAAAUCAGAUUAAAAGUUUGGGAGCUAAAGCUGGGGUUGUCCUCAAUCCUGGAACCCCUUUAACCGCAAUUGAAUAUGUUCUUGAUGCUGUUGAUCUGGUGCUGAUAAUGUCUGUAAACCCUGGAUUUGGGGGACAGAGCUUCAUUGAAAGUCAGGUCAAGAAAAUCUCAGACUUGAGAAAAAUCUGCGCAGAGAGGGGACUAAACCCUUGGAUUGAAGUUGACGGUGGUGUUGGUCCCAAAAAUGCUUACAAGGUCAUUGAAGCUGGAGCCAAUGCUUUGGUAGCUGGUUCUGCCGUCUUUGGAGCUCCUGAUUAUGCUGAAGCUAUUAAAGGAAUCAAGACAAGCAAAAGGCCUGAAGCAGUUGCUGUAUGAAGUUUCUGCCUACUUGGUUCAAGUCGUCAUAACUGUUAAUACGGAGUUGUUCUGUAUGACAGCGCGAAUCCUAGCUGCAGAACAAGAAUAGUUGCGAGGCUGCGGCAUGGUUCGCUCUAUACUCGACACAAUAGGAAAAAUAAAAUAGCCAAUCUCAGAGGUUUUGUGUAAUACAAUAUGUUGUGCAACUUAUCUUGCAUAGGGAACAAGAUAAUUCUACACUGAAUAUCCAAUUAUUUCCAAAUCAUUGGAUAUUUUAUUGAAGUUUAUGAGUUGAUGUCAAGUUCCAAACUAAAGGCCCUUCCCCUCGGGCGGAAAAAUAGAGAAGGAAAUGAAGGAAUAAAUGGUUGCAACCCUAUUCCGUUG
Molecule: RNA transcript, 1495 nt
Organism: Nicotiana attenuata
Lineage: Eukaryota; Viridiplantae; Streptophyta; Magnoliopsida; Solanales; Solanaceae
Gene name: ribulose-phosphate 3-epimerase, chloroplastic
Exons: 10
Source: RefSeq, a predicted model, not a curated record